GAUGAACGCUGGCGGCGUGCCUAAUACAUGCAAGUCGAGCGAACAGACGAGGAGCUUGCUCCUCUGACGUUAGCGGCGGACGGGUGAGUAACACGUGGAUAACCUACCUAUAAGACUGGGAUAACUUCGGGAAACCGGAGCUAAUACCGGAUAAUAUAUUGAACCGCAUGGUUCAAUAGUGAAAGACGGUUUUGCUGUCACUUAUAGAUGGAUCCGCGCCGCAUUAGCUAGUUGGUAAGGUAACGGCUUACCAAGGCAACGAUGCGUAGCCGACCUGAGAGGGUGAUCGGCCACACGGGAACUGAGACACGGUCCAGGCUCCUACGGGAGGCAGCAGUAGGGAAUCUUCCGCAAAGGGCGAAAGCCUGACGGAGCAACGCCGCGUGAGUGAUGAAGGUCUUCGGAUCGUAAAACUCUGUUAUUAGGGAAGAACAAAUGUGUAAGUAACUGUGCACGGCUUGACGGUACCUAAGCAGAAAGCCACGGCUAACUACGUG
Molecule: ribosomal RNA, 497 nt
Filed under: uncultured bacterium
Lineage: Bacteria
Description: partial 16S ribosomal RNA
Rfam family: Bacterial small subunit ribosomal RNA
Source: RNAcentral